GGGGUUCAGUCCAGUGUUGUGUUUACCCUUUUCUUUAAUAUUUAUCUGCAAUAAUCUGUAGUUCUAAGUACUUAUUUCCCUGUUUUUUGUUUUCCCACAUUAUUUAUCAUUGAUACACAAUAGGAGAGAGACAGAUAAUAUCUCCUUUCGUCGUUAAUAUCAACCAUAAAGGAAAAGGGCAAAGUACGAGAGUCAUGCUAUUAAUUGUCAGGGAUGGAGAGUUAGUUAGUAAGGUAGGCUGCAGUGGGUUUGCUGGUCAAUACAUAUACUGAACAGGGAUGGAGAGGGAGUUAGUAAGGUAGGCUGCAGUGGGUUUGCUGGUCAAUACAUAUACUGAACAGGGAUGGAGAGGGAGUUAGUAAGGUAGGCUGCAGUGGGUUUGCUGGUCAAUACAUAUACUGUACAGGGAUGGAGAGGGAGUUAGUAAGGUAGGCUGCAGUGGGUUUGCUGGUCAAUACAUAUACUGAACAGGGAUGGAGAGGGAGUUAGUAAGGUAGACUGCAGUGGGUUUGCUGGUCAAUACAUACACUGUACAGGGAUGGAGAGGGAGUUAGUAAGGUAGGCUGCAGUGGGUUUGCUGGUCAAUACAUAUACUGAACAUGUAACCACAGUAAUGGUGGCCAGUAAAUCAAUGAAUAAAAAUGUAAUAUUGACAAAUUCAACAAAUUGUAGACCUUUAGUCUUUUCCAACAUGUCAACAGACACUUAACUUCAGUUAAGUAUGAAACAUUUCACAGUGUUAACUUCCUCUUUAUCCCUGGUUGAUGUACAUGUCAGAGCCUCUUCAGUGUGGAUGGGGAAAAGCAUACAUUUUCAACAACAAAGACAGCACUUCCAGUUUGUGUUCUUCGCUCUGUUGAACUCGUU
Long non-coding RNA from Oncorhynchus tshawytscha (Chinook salmon), 867 nucleotides. The record is from Ensembl. NCBI's taxonomy places the organism in Eukaryota, Metazoa, Chordata, Actinopteri, Salmoniformes, Salmonidae.